This 256-nucleotide ribosomal RNA is filed under the name uncultured bacterium. RNAcentral describes it as "partial small subunit ribosomal RNA". It matches the Rfam family "Bacterial small subunit ribosomal RNA", at positions 26 to 285 of the family's 1533-position model. The record is from RNAcentral.
AGAACGAACGCUGGCGGCGUGCCUAACACAUGCAAGUCGAGCGGUGAAGUCCCUUCGGGGGCGGAUCAGCGGCGAACGGGUGAGUAACACGUGGGCAACCUGCCCCUAGCACUGGGAUAACUCCGGGAAACCGGGGCUAAUACCGGAUAUGACCUUUGAGGGCAUCCUCGAAGGUGUAAAGGAUUCUGGCUAGGGAUGGGCCCGCGGCCUAUCAGCUUGUUGGUGGGGUAAUGGCCUACCAAGGCGACGACGGGUA